Molecule: ribosomal RNA, 793 nt
Filed under: uncultured archaeon
Lineage: Archaea
Description: bacterial SSU rRNA
Rfam family: Archaeal small subunit ribosomal RNA
Source: RNAcentral
ACACGUAGUCAACUGCCUGAAGACAAGGACAACCCCGGGAAACUGGGAUUAAUCCUUGAUAGGCCAUCUCAUCUGGAAGGAGAGAUGGCUUAAAGGGGUGCGAGAGCUUCUUUCUUGUACCCGCUUCAGGAUGGGACUGCGGCCGAUCAGGCUGUUGGUGGGGUAAUGGCCCACCAAACCUGUAACCGGUACGGGCCUUGAGAGAGGGGGCCCGGAGAUGGACACUGAGAGAAGGGUCCAGGUCCUACGGGGCGCAGCAGGCGCGGAACCUUCACAAUGCGCGAAAGCGUGAUGAGGUUAAUCCGAGUGGUCCCCGCUGAGGGGAUCUUUUCUUGGCUAUAAAACGGCCAGGGAAUAAGGGGAGGGCAAGUCUGGUGUCAGCCGCCGCGGUAAUACCAGCUCCUCGAGUGGUCGGGGCGAUUAUUGGGCCUAAAGCAUCCGUAGCCUGUUCUGUAGGUCCGCUGUUAAAUCCAACGGCUUAACCGUUGGCCUGCAGCGGAUACCGCAGGACUAGGAGGCGGGAGAGGUGGACGGUACUCCACGUGUAGGGGUAAAAUCCUUUGAUCCGUGGAAGACCACCAGUGGCGAAGGCGGUCCACCAGAACGCGCUCGACGGUGAGGGAUGAAAGCUGGGGGAGCGAACCGGAUUAGAUACCCGGGUAGUCCCAGCCGUAAACGAUGCGAGCUAGAUGAUCCGGUCGCAAAUCGCGAUCGGAGUGUCGCAGGGAAGCCGUUAAGCUCGCCGCCUGGGGAGUACGGUCGCAAGACUGAAACUUAAAGGAAUUGGCGGGAA